UGCUUUCUGCAUACCAUAUGAAGUAAUUCCUGCCCAGUGAAUCACUUUCAACGGCCGCGGUAUCCUAACCGUGCAAAGGUAGCAUAAUCACUUGCCCAUUAAUUGUGGGCUAGCAUGAAAGGACUAACGAAAUAAAAACUGUCUCUAUAAGUCACAUAAAAAUUACCCUCUAACUGAAGAUUGUUAGAUGAUAUCGAAGGACAAGAAGACCCUAUAGAGCUUUAUUUUAUUAAGAUGUUUAAAAUUUUAUAAGAUUCGGUUGGGGCGACCUGGGAAAUAUUUAUCAUCCCCCGACAAUAGAUAGAUAAAUCACUUUUUUGACCCUUAAUAAAGAUCCUUAGAUCAAGCUACCUUAGGGAUAACAGGCUAAUCCCACUAAAGAGUUCUUAUCAAUAGUGGGGGUUGGCACCUCGAUGUUGGCUUAGGGAAUCUAUGCGACGCAAAAGUCACAUAAAGAUGGUUUGUUCAACCAGUAAUACCCU
Molecule: ribosomal RNA, 482 nt
Filed under: Eisenia fetida (common brandling worm)
Lineage: Eukaryota; Metazoa; Annelida; Clitellata; Crassiclitellata; Lumbricidae
Description: partial 16S ribosomal RNA
Rfam family: Bacterial large subunit ribosomal RNA
Source: RNAcentral